AUGGUGCAAGGCUCGGAGGCCGAUAUUUCGAACCUGAAAUUCCUGUUGUUGUGCUUCUAGCAACUGUCGGGUCUCAAAAUAAACUUCGAUAAGAGCAAGGUGAUGGUUCUUGGCUACUCCCCCACUAAAAGUCAAAGUAUUGCUAACCGACUUAACUGUCGGCUGGGGUCGUUCCCCACCACCUACCUGGGGAUCCCCAUCAGUGACUCUCGACUCUCCGUGGCGGAUCUAAGGCCCUCCAUGCUCAAGCUUUAGCACCGCAUCGAGCCUUAUCAGGGCCGUUGGUUGUCUAAGGCGGCACGAAUGAUUCUCAUCAACUCCUCCAUGUCCAGCCUUCUUAUGUUCAUCAUGAGUUUCUACAGCCUUCCCGAGAUGCUUCACCAUGAGAUCGGCUCAGUUCAGACACGUUUCUAUUUGGCCGGUGAGGGCGAUAAGCAGAAAUACCAUAUGGUUCGCUGGACCGAUAUAUGCAAGCCUAGGGACCAAGACGGCCUCGGCAUCAUGUCCUCCAAGCGUAUGAACUUGGCGCUCCUCAUGAGAUGGCUCUGGCACAUUGCAAAUGGUGAGGGUGGCCUACGGUUGCAAAUCAUUCGGAACAAAUACUUGCGCGACCAGCCCCUUGCCUUUUUCACUAGUACGGGAGGGUCCCAGUUCUGGCAGUCCGUCAUCCAGCUUCUACCAGUUCUUCAUCUCGGGACCUCAAUCACGGUUGGCUCUGGGACAACCACUUUGUUUUGGUUUGACCGGUGGGAUGGGGACUCCCCUUCGCGGCCAGGUUCCUGGAUCUUUUCUCCAUCGCGGUGGAGCCUAGGAUCUCCGUCGAGACGAACCUUAUUAACUUAG
This 843-nucleotide ribosomal RNA is filed under the name Triticum aestivum (bread wheat). RNAcentral describes it as "partial small subunit ribosomal RNA". Lineage: Eukaryota; Viridiplantae; Streptophyta; Magnoliopsida; Poales; Poaceae. The record is from RNAcentral.